CCUGCAAUAGUAUUGGGAAAAAUGGAUACUUUUAUGGGAAGGAGAAGACCUACCAAUAUAUUAUAUAUAAUUUAUUUAUCCAAUUAGAAAAAUAAAGAGAGUAAAGGGAAGGGGGGCAAAACAACCUGGGGAUGAGUAUUGCCUUCAAUAGCCUGAAUCCACUUCUAGUUACUUCAUUCAGUCACUAAUGGGCUUCCCCCACAGAGAAAACUCUAAAGCCGUCCGGCCAGUAAUGUGGAAUUUAGAGGCCACAGGAGGCUGUGUAAAGGAAAUUUUGUGGGCUAAAAGCAACAGAAAAAUAAAGGAAAAUGUAAGUCUUAUCUUCCAUUGGCAUAAGAAAUAAUAAAAAAACAAGGUUCCGCAAUAAAGCAAGGCUCAAAAAGAUAGGUCAGGAGCCAAUCUCAAAUCCUGUCAACUUCCAAUUUCUAUUUAUCCUCCCAUCCCUUUAAAGCAAUUCUGCAUUCCAAAUGACCCAUUCUAGCGAUUUUAUCAUUAGCGAUAUCCAUAUCGACAGCCAAAUCUCAAAGCACAAUGACCUCGUUUUUCAAUAUUGGUGGGAUACAAUUAAAAACAGGCAUGCCUGCCUUAAUGACUGAAAAUAAUUUUCCAUGCCAAUUAACCAUCUUUCUGUAACCUUAAAUCUAAUUCAAGCAUCAAAAGCGAUGCCACCAGGAUUGAGGUCCUCGCUCUCCCAAGCAUGUAACAUAGGGUGAUAUCGAGAUGGCUCCAAUGGAGGAAAAAGAAAAAUAAAACAUUAGAUAAAUUUAAAGCUUCAUCCAAUUGCAAAACAAAAUCUAUAUAAGCAACAACCACACGAAACAAAACAGCCUCAAAACUACAUAGGUUAUAAACCCUUUAAGAGUAUAAAAUCCAAUAACAGAGGAUUGGAUUAUUACUUGGGCAGGCAAGGGCUAAUAAAUAUUCCGGAGACAGAAAAACAGCUAACAAUGUUUGCACAGAGUUACAGAAAAAGGCAUUCAACCGGACAGAUUGCUGUAGACCUCAAUCAUCCUUCUUGACAGUGGCAGACUUGAUUAUGUCAAUGAAUUCCGGCUUCAGAGAUGCUCCACCAACCAAAAAUCCAUCAACAUCUGGUUUUGCGGCCAACUCUUUGCAGUUUGCACCAUUUACAGAACCUAACGUGAGGCAAGACGUGCAAAAGUAAGUUCCAUGCAGAAUUUAUCAUUCAAGUUGGUUGCCAUAAUAAGGAAACGGAUUGAUCUUCCCUACCAGAUGACUGUAGGGUGCUCUCUCUUUCUCCCACAACCAGAAACAUUGCAAUACAGUUAAAAAUUUGUAAUUUCUUAAAACACAAUAUAAUCAUAUGAUUUGCUAAGUUGGGUUCAGCCUUGUUAGGCCAUACUCCAUAGGCUUUGCCAUCAGUAAACAUUUUUAACAAAAUUAAUAAUAUCAUGAAGGAGCAAGCAAGAGGAUGAGUAGAGACAACUUGCUCAUACGCAACAAUUGGCAGAUUGUUCAGUCUACAAACAGUUGUUAAUUUUAAAAGCAGAGCCAAAAAUAAUUUAAGAUUACCUCCAUAGAUAAUUCUUGUUGAUGCCGCAACUUCAGCACAAACAUUGUCGUGCAACCAUUUCCUCAAUUCCAAAUGGACCUAGUACAUUUAUCAACCAGAUGUAGUAAAAGCAAUCAGCUUCAGUAAGUACUUAAGCUGCUUCCCAUCAAAUCAAUGAGGGACCUAUGCAUAGACUUAUUAUACUAACAUGGAAAAGGGUUAUAAGCUGCAUUGGAGACACAUGCGUCAUGAAUUAGCAUAAUGUAAAUCAACCAUAAAGAGUUUUGUACAUGACAAGCAAAUUAUUUUACAAUUGGCAUAAAAACAGUCUGUGUUGAUGUGCUAUUCUCACACAGAGAAGAGAGUUCUAUGCAUUACAAACAAACCCUUAAGAAUUACAUAGAAUCCACAGAAUUUAAAUACAUGAACUGAGGUAGAAAAUAACUGUAAAUGUGCUGAUUUCAGAAACAAAACAUUGACUAAAUAAGUUGUCAAAUUUACACUAACCUCUUGAGCCUGAGCAGGUGUUGCAACCUUUCCCGUACCAAUGGCCCAAACUGGCUCAUAGGCCAACACAACAUUAGCCCAAUUGGUUACUUUGUCUGCUAUUGCUUUUGUUUGUGCAGCAACAACAGCCAAUGUAGAUCCAGAUUCUCUCUGCUCAAGGGUCUCACCAAUACAAGCAAUCACUUUUAAACCUUUAGAAAGUGCAUACGCAACUUUAUCCCCAACAAACUCAUUUGACUCAUUUAAAAGCGAUCUUCGUUCAGAAUGGCCGAGAAUGACCCAUGGAACAGACAAAUUCACUAUCAUCUCAGCACUAAUCUCUCCGGUAAAAGCACCACCUUUACGUACCCAACAGUUUUGUGCUGCAACCUGGAAGUCGGGUCUCAGUAAACCUUUUACCAGUGAAAGAAAUACAAAGGGAGGGCUCACAACAACCUCCACAACAUCCUCAGAAGGGACCUCGGCUUCGUUCAAAAUGGUGACAAUCUUCUUCACCUCCUCAGUCGUUCCAUUCUGCAACUCCCCAAAACAAAAAUUCAAACAAAUAAACUCAACCCAUUAGUAAACGAUGCAAUUAGCACACAAUCACACCGAGACACUGCCUCUCAAGUUGCGUCAAUUUCACAUGCAAAUCAUGUUGAAAUAUCGCAUUUGAACCCAUCAGAUCUAUUAACACCCACAAAAAUCAAAACAGAUAAAAACGAUAGGAUUGUUCAAGUCAAUGAACGGUGAUCAAAUUUGAAGAUCGGUAUAAUUCCAUAGCACAAACUCUCCAAAAAAGAAAUAAAAUAAAAAGAAAAAAAGAAGCAAAAUUAAAACCACAACACAAGCAACAAUAAAGAAGAGCGAGCAAAACAAAGUAAAAAGAGUAAGAAAUCGGAGACGUACGCAUUU
This 2914-nucleotide unclassified non-coding RNA is filed under the name Hevea brasiliensis (rubber tree). The record is from RNAcentral. Lineage: Eukaryota; Viridiplantae; Streptophyta; Magnoliopsida; Malpighiales; Euphorbiaceae.